Molecule: long non-coding RNA, 1902 nt
Organism: Peromyscus leucopus (white-footed mouse)
Lineage: Eukaryota; Metazoa; Chordata; Mammalia; Rodentia; Cricetidae
Exons: 2
Source: RefSeq, a predicted model, not a curated record
CAACAUCUUCUUGGCGCAACAGACCCCAGUGUGCCCUCGCCCCACCCAUACUUACCAAAGGAGGGCUGCCCAUUGGAGUAUGGAACUAUUCUGGGACUUAUUUUUAUGUUCAGUUGCUGAGGUUCUAACGUAAGGGAACGGAGAUUGGACGGAACUGGCACUGCCUGGCAUUCUCCCACUUUUGGUGAACUGGAUUUGCUUAAUGUGACUUGAAGGUUAUUCCUACAAAUCUAUUUCCGUCAGGAUCAACACAAACUUGGCACUGCAGAAGGGGCUCUAGCUCGAGGGAUGUUUAAAAGGGAAGCGUCAAGCCUGCUUCUCCCCACGUCUCACGCCUCGGGCGCUUGCCUGCUCGACUGUUAAUGAUCACCUUAGGUCCUGAAGCAGAUGAUUUGAAGCCCCCAGUGACAGUCUCAACUUCAGACAAAGCUUCUGGUUUCUACUUUUCUUUCUUAUUAAAUGUUUUUGAGGGAGAGAUUCAGCAAAUCUGUAAAACAGUUUGAUAGAAAAGCAAAAUCUUAGAAUGCCGGAAAGGGGGUGGGGUGGGAUGUCAGUCCAUCAUGUAAUCCAGCUCUUUGCUUCCAGAAAGAUCCGAGGACCUAACCAGCCCCUCCUGUUUCUAAAGGUCUAUGGGAAUGAAACUUGUUCACUGAAGGCAGCAUUUGUCAACCAAGUCUCACUUCCUAGCCUGUUGCUGCUUAUCUGGUUUCCUCUAGGUUCAAGUCCUGGGACCAGGGAGACAAGCUGGUCAGCGGCCUCCAGGAUGACGGGUUUAACGGCACUGGUGUGCCAGGAUUCUAGAGAGCAAGAGCUUCUUCCUCGGAAUAAAGAGCUUUCUCUGGAUAAAGUGUCACCUCACCGCUGUCUAAUAUGCCCCAGAAGAGCCUUUCUCUGGGUCCUGCUCGGCAAAUAUGGCUUGGGACCGUUCUGCCUUGCUGAUGCAACAUCUGGCCAGCAUUCGAGGUUGUUUCUCAAGGACACAAUCGUGCACCUCCGAUGAAUUUCAACUUUCAACAUCUCUCUGUCUCUAAUCUAUAUUUAAUGUUUCAUGACUGGUAGUCAAAGACGCUCCAGCUAAAUAUCAGAUUGGAAUGAAAAUGAUCCUUGGGAGAACAUUUGCUUCCAGCAUACGCCAGCAAAGUGUCUGUGACAGAGCCUUUCCCUAGAGACUUGUUGCCCAUUCUCUAGCAGUAAUAAUAAUUAUGCCUUAUGAUUGCUGUGCCCACAUAAUCACAGAUCACUUCAUCAAUGCAAUCCCGAGGGGAAACCGCCUCUAUUCCUCACUGGAUGUCAGUCACAGAGAGCUGCACCCCUAGGGAUCCCCAAUCUUUCUCUUGCCCUUUUCAGGGCUGUGUUGUUAGCAUUGUGUUGCUUCCUAUUCUUCCUGAUGCAAAUGAUGUGUAAAUCAUGCCCUCCAGAAGGCACAUGUGGUGAGAGGAGAGAGGGAAAAGGGGCGAGAAGCCGGGGUAUUCUUCUCCCUUGCCCCCUCCCCAAUCUACCACAGGGAUUUCUCACAUGGAACAUAAUUACAUCUGUGCCAUAUGGGCUCAUUUAUAUUCUAUUACAGGUUAAGCUAAUACGACUCAGAAAUAUGCUAAAAAUACCUCAAAGUAUUCUAGAGCUGUCAAAAUGCCUGCCACUUCUGGCUCAUUCGUUUGAUUGCUAGUGUUUUUAUUUUUGUUGGGAGAUUCAGAGAGCUAGGAAAACGUGCUGGCAUGCUGCUGUCCAGUCUGUAAAUGCACCUUAAUUUCCUGUAUUAUUGCAAUCUUUGGGUGUGUAAAGAAAAGAACAUCUUUAAAAUCCUGGAAUGGCCCCAAGAUAUGGGCAUUGAAGCCCCUACACUUGUGGAUUUUAAUUUCCCAAGAGAUGGAAAAUACAGAUUUCAGAUGUGUGGUUUUGUCA